CUGGGGAUGAUCUCAUUUACUCCACAAUUUUGUGAUAUUACAUUUGAAUUUAUGCAUACACUACUACUCUUAGGUCACGUUGCAAUCGUAUGCCUUUUUAUCAAGUUUUGCUUUUGUUGAUUUAUUGUUCUUGAUAAUACAAUAAAGCAACAAGGACAAUGUGUAGCCUGGAAAACAAUGUAUAGCUUAUAAAUGUAAACCGUUCCUUCUUUCUAGUUAACAUAGGAAUUUUUAUGCAUAUAAGGGAGCGACGUCCAACAAAAGGAUCCAGUUAUUUUCAACCAGAAAACAUUACUAUAUUAAUACAACAUACUUAUUCUACCUACCUAUCCAGCAAUAUUCAAAACAGCGCAGAAAGCGUAUAAAGAACAGUUACAUUUUUUUAUGGUGUUCCUAUUUUGCAGUGUUUAGCAUUCAAUGUAACGUUUUGUUUACUGUUAUAUAUGUAUCUACGUCGUUUAUACAUUUUGUCAUGAUAUUGUGGAGUUUUUCUUCGACUUAUGAUUUUCAUUGUCUUUUUUGGGGUUUUGCCUCUUCAAUACCACUUAACGUGUGAUAAACGAUCUCCUGGUGUUGUACAUAAAAGAAGUUAGUUGUUUGUUUAGAUUGAAUUGUUAGACUCUAUAAAAUAUAUGAAGUAAUGUUCACACAUGGUCUCUUUGUGACGUCAAACGUGCGAUUCUACGUCAGAGUUAAUGUUAAUCUAACCAUGUGGGUGUCAUGGUAAGGAUUCGGUCUCAGUACUUAAUUUGAUGUAUGCCUUUUUGUGUUUCUUUGUAAUUUGUUUGUUUUUAUAGCGAUUAUGAUUAUAGCACAAUGUUGACUGCUGUACCCCUAUUUUUGACAUUUUUACAUAUAUGGUGAAUGUUUAUUUUGUUCACGCAUCGUUGUAAAUAUAAAUGAAUUUGAUGCGACUGUCAUACAAGUGAGAGGUUAUUAAGCUAGCUAUAAAACCAGGUUAAAUUCAACAUGUCCUACAUAAGAAAAUGCCUGUACCAAGUAAGGAUUAUGACAAGAAUCACUCUGGUUUUUAUUUCGAUAAAGAACAAUUAAUUAGUUUUAUCAUUUUAAUUAACAUUUUUCACAAGUGUGAACCUUUCUAUGGCCUAUGCCCUAUUCUCAAUUUUCUAUCUGUUAUAAUCACUUUUAAGUUAAGACAAGCGAAUGGAUUAUUGUUUACAAACGUAAUAAGACGAUGAUAACUUAAGAAUGCACGGUCAACGAAAAUCGUAUGAUCAUUUAUUCAAAAAUAUUUGUAAGAUAUAAUUUUUGAUGGCUUCUAAAUAUUUUCUAAUUUCACUAUCCGAUUAAAGUAACGAAAUACAUUGACAUUCCCGAAGUAAGCUUAGCACUUUACAAUGAUUUGAUCCAAGAAUUCCACAGACAUUUUAUCAUCAAAUAUUAAAUGAAUUUUAAUCCCAUGAUAGGCAUUACAGCAAUAAAAAACAUUUGCAUGAUAACAAGUACUAAAAGCUUUCUAAUAUCCAUCAUUUCAAAAUUUAAAAUUUAACUUAAUCUCUGAAACCAUAAAACCAUAAUGAUGAAAUUGAUUUAAUGUGUGAACUUGUUUUUGCAUUAUGGCAGGCGCAUGUUGUUAAGCGUUAUCUGUGUUAUACAUUCGUCCUGUAGUACACCAACAGUUUUCAAGAGGGUAUAAACAGUAGCCUUGUAAAUAGUUGAGGCAUUUAAGGUCUCCACAGCAUUCGUUUUUAUCUGGAUUACAUUCUUGCAUGUACGAAAAACACUG
This 1747-nucleotide long non-coding RNA is filed under the name Mytilus galloprovincialis (Mediterranean mussel). The record is from RNAcentral. Lineage: Eukaryota; Metazoa; Mollusca; Bivalvia; Mytilida; Mytilidae.